Molecule: ribosomal RNA, 510 nt
Filed under: uncultured bacterium
Lineage: Bacteria
Description: partial 16S ribosomal RNA
Rfam family: Bacterial small subunit ribosomal RNA
Source: RNAcentral
GACGAACGCUGGCGGCGUGCUUAACACAUGCAAGUCGAACGAAGAGCGAUGGAAGCUUGCUUCUAUCAAUCUUAGUGGCGAACGGGUGAGUAACGCGUAAUCAACCUGCCCUUCAGAGGGGGACAACAGUUGGAAACGACUGCUAAUACCGCAUACGAUCUAAUCUCGGCAUCGAGGAUAGAUGAAAGGUGGCCUCUACAUGUAAGCUAUCACUGAAGGAGGGGAUUGCGUCUGAUUAGCUAGUUGGAGGGGUAACGGCCCACCAAGGCGAUGAUCAGUAGCCGGUCUGAGAGGAUGAACGGCCACAUUGGGACUGAGACACGGCCCAGACUGCUACGGGAGGCAGCAGUGGGGAAUCUUCCGCAAUGGACGAAAGUCUGACGGAGCAACGCCGCGGGAGUGAUGACGGCCGUCGGGUUGUAAAGCUCUGUUAAUCGGGACGAAAGGCCUUCUUGCGAAUAGGGAGAAGGAUUGACGGUACCGGAAUAGAAAGCCACGGCUAACUACGUG